RNAcentral lists this ribosomal RNA (505 nucleotides) under uncultured Glomeraceae. RNAcentral describes it as "SSU rRNA". It matches the Rfam family "Eukaryotic small subunit ribosomal RNA", at positions 569 to 1078 of the family's 1831-position model. The record is from RNAcentral. Lineage: Eukaryota; Fungi; Glomeromycota; Glomeromycetes; Glomerales; Glomeraceae.
AGCAGCCGCGGUAAUUCCAGCUCCAAUAGCGUAUAUUAAAGUUGCUGCAGUUAAAAAGCUCGUAGUUGAAUUUCGGGACCAAUAUGUCGGUCGUGCCUCGGUACGUACUGGCAUCGUUGGUUUCUCCCUUCUGACGAACCAUGAUGUCAUUUAUUUGGUGUCGUGGGGAAUCAGGACUGUUACUUUGAAAAAUUAGGGUGUUUAAAGCAGGCUCACGCUUGAAUACAUUAGCAUGGAAUAAUGAAAUAGGACGUUUGAUUCUAUUUUGUUGGUUUCUAGGAUCGACGUAAUGAUUAAUAGGGAUAGUUGGGGGCAUUAGUAUUCAAUUGUCAGAGGUGAAAUUCUUGGAUUUAUUGAAGACUAACUACUGCGAAAGCAUUUGCCAAGGAUGUUUUCAUUAAUCAAGAACGAAAGUUAGGGGAUCGAAGACGAUCAGAUACCGUCGUAGUCUUAACCAUAAACUAUGCCGACUAGGGGUCGGAUGAUGUUAAUUUUUAAUGACUCA